This is a small nuclear RNA of Pteronotus mesoamericanus, 107 nucleotides long. The record is from RefSeq and is a predicted model, not a curated record. NCBI's taxonomy places the organism in Eukaryota, Metazoa, Chordata, Mammalia, Chiroptera, Mormoopidae.
GUGCUCACUUUGGCAACACAUAUACUAUAAUUGGAAUGAUAUGGAGAAGAUUAGUGUGGUCUCUGGACAAGGAUGACACACAAAUUUGUGACAUAUUCCAUUUAAAC